Non-coding RNA from Rattus norvegicus (Norway rat), 972 nucleotides. The record is from RefSeq and is a predicted model, not a curated record. Lineage: Eukaryota; Metazoa; Chordata; Mammalia; Rodentia; Muridae.
UCUCCAUGCUUUGGAGGGAGAAAAGGGACCAGUCGUGUGAGAUCUUGGGCGGAGAGGCCAUAGGCUGCUUCCCCAGACAGGAGAUUAGAAACACAACUAAGCAGAGGGCAGUUUUGAGUUGCUGAACAAGGAGAAGGUAACUCAAGUUGAGGGCAGAUUUAGGAUGCUGAACUAAGAGUAUUGGGAAGGGCAUGCUAGCCAGGGGAGAUUAGAAGUGCCCAGCAACUGAGCCAAUAAGGCAGGUUGAAAAUAAGCUAGUGUGUGUGUGUAUGUGUAUGAGAGUGUGUGUGUGUGUGUGUGUGUGUGUGUGUGUGCGCGCGCGCACAUGCGCGUGUGUGUUCCACAGAUCUGCGGGAACCUGGGCGGGGCUUGUAGCCAGGUCCACCCUGAGCUUAAACGAGGGUAGCAAAAGCUUCACCCUACACUACAGCUUCUCGAUGAAUUGCCCUGCUUGGAAAAACUGCCUCUGAAUUCUGCAAACUUAACUUCACUGACUACACGAACUGAAUGGAACUGAACCCAACUGCAUUUAACUGAACUGCAUCGAACCGCACUGAACUGAACUCAACUGAACUCCGCUGCAUUGCCUGAACUGCACUGAGGGACACUCACUGAACCACCCUCCCCUCCUAACUCACUCUGUGUUGCUCUUAACUGGUCUCCCUUUCCUGUCUGUUCUCAUGAAGCUGGGCAUUUCCCAUCUCUGACUCAUUCUGUCAAAUCUUUCUCUGAUUUGCCACUUUAUCUGUCACUCAAUUAGUCAUCACUUUCAAACAUGGCUACUUCCUUAACAAACUUUACCUUCAUUUGGGGGGUGGGGAUCAAGGGUGAGAACUAAGGGUGUGUCUGGAUUCCAGCCAGAGGGAUUAAGGGUGUGUAUUCCAGCCGGAGCACACAGAUCUCAGUCUUUGGAUAUACCACCUUUAAAGAGUAGCCAUGUUGCUGGAUUAAAAUUCUUCUCCACUCAUGAAA